GUUAUUCCUUUUCAGGAUAUGUAAGACGAAGCUUCAGGAGGGUUAUGUUAUUUUCUGUUCGGUCUUUUUGUAUUACCGUAGCUAUUGCUUUCCCUCGCCUUUAUCUUUAUUAAGUUUGUAAGAGGGAUAGGAAAUUAUGAUAUGUAUAUUUGUAAACUAGUGUUAUGUAUAUAUAUAUAUAUAUAUAUAUAUAUAUAUGUAUCUGAUUUGUAUGUACAUGUAUGUUUAUAUUUUCACGAAAAAGAGUUAUUGAAAGGUUAUGCAGUUUUAAGUUUUAAA
Molecule: non-coding RNA, 279 nt
Organism: Arachis ipaensis
Lineage: Eukaryota; Viridiplantae; Streptophyta; Magnoliopsida; Fabales; Fabaceae
Source: RefSeq, a predicted model, not a curated record